RNAcentral lists this transfer RNA (76 nucleotides) under Opitutia bacterium. Its description in RNAcentral is "tRNA-Met". It matches the Rfam family "tRNA". Rfam says of the family: Transfer RNA (tRNA) molecules are approximately 80 nucleotides in length. Their secondary structure includes four short double-helical elements and three loops (D, anti-codon, and T loops). The record is from RNAcentral. Lineage: Bacteria; Pseudomonadati; Verrucomicrobiota; Opitutia.
GGGUCCGUAGCUCAGCGGUUAGAGCAGGGGACUCAUAAUCCCUUGGUCCUCGGUUCGAAUCCGAGCGGGCCCACCA